GGGGCGGUGGCGGAAUCGGCAGACGCAGCGGACUUAAAAUCCGCCGGUGGAGACACCUUGAGGGUUCGAUCCCCUCUCGCCCCA
This 84-nucleotide transfer RNA is filed under the name Planctomycetota bacterium. RNAcentral describes it as "tRNA-Leu". It matches the Rfam family "tRNA". Rfam says of the family: Transfer RNA (tRNA) molecules are approximately 80 nucleotides in length. Lineage: Bacteria; Pseudomonadati; Planctomycetota. The record is from RNAcentral.